AACGGCCGCGGUACCCUAACCGUGCGAAGGUAGCAUAAUCACUUGUCCUUUAAAUAGGGACUUGUAUCAACGGCACCACGAGGGCUAUACUGUCUCCUUUCUCCAAUCAGUGAAACUGAUCUCCCCGUGAAGAAGCGGGGAUUAUAAUAUAAGACGAGAAGACCCCAUGGAGCUUUAAACUCAUCAUACACCUCUAUGCCCUAUAUCAACUUACACAAGAAACCUGUAUGCUAGUUUUAGGUUGGGGGGACCACGGAGUAUAAUUAAACCUCCAUAACAAAUGGGCUAACACCCUUAUCUACGAGAUACACCUCUAAGAAUUACUAAACUAAUGUUUAAUGACCCAAUAAUUUGAUCAAUGAACCAAGUUACCCUGGGGAUAACAGCGCAAUC
This 393-nucleotide ribosomal RNA is filed under the name Aquarana catesbeiana (American bullfrog). Its description in RNAcentral is "Lithobates catesbeianus (American bullfrog) partial 16S ribosomal RNA". It matches the Rfam family "Bacterial large subunit ribosomal RNA", at positions 1926 to 2487 of the family's 2925-position model. Lineage: Eukaryota; Metazoa; Chordata; Amphibia; Anura; Ranidae. The record is from RNAcentral.